This 1226-nucleotide long non-coding RNA is filed under the name Triticum aestivum (bread wheat). Its description in RNAcentral is "long non-coding RNA (TAES_LNC028070)". Lineage: Eukaryota; Viridiplantae; Streptophyta; Magnoliopsida; Poales; Poaceae. The record is from RNAcentral.
GUGAGAAUUUUUAGCAGAAUGAUUCUUGAUAUUAUGUUGGAUCAUGUUGGAAUUCCUAGAGCUAUUUAUCGGAGAAGGAUGUACCCGCAUAACACAAUGACUGUCACCGUGCUUUUCUACCGGAGAAAUGCACGCAUUUGAGUAUUUCUGUCAGCCAUCUUCGUAAACAAAUGUUUGUUGUUUCCUUGGUAUUUAUUUCCAUUGGCAAAACGCUGCUUAUCGGCGGUUGGAACUAUGCUUCCAGCAGUAUCACUUGCCAUGAUGAGCUACAUCAUUAAUUCUCAUUUUGUGUACUUAUCAACUAAAAAGCACGGACACGGGGACGGAAAGACGGGGAUACGGAUAUGGGAUACGGGAUUUUCCAAAAAACAGCCAUUCGGGGAUACGGCGAGUAUAUAUAAAAUAAAAUAAAAAUAUGCCAUGUAAUAUAGAGUUAAGACAGAAAAUUAAAGAGAAAUAGAUCAAAAUAAAGAAUAGACUAGAGUACUGCCCCAUUUGGUGUCUCUUUUAUCAAGUGCUUGAUCGAUCCUCGUCCCCCCAUCUCAUUGUAAGUUGCAUCUUGCAAAACACGUCAAACACAAAUUGGCUACCAGCUGUGGCGCUCCCAGAUGCCAUGCCACUUACUAGUUGCUACCUAUCAACAAGUGUGCAGCAACAAAAGCUGUUAAAUUCAGAAAUAGGCAAUAGCACUAGCAGGCUAGCAGCAGCAGCAGCAGCCCAAGCAGCACAAGCGAGCAGCAACAGCAUAACAAACAGCAGCAGCACAAGCAGAGAGGUAGCAACAACAAGUCAACAACAAGCUAGCAAGCAUCCAGACCCAGUAGCUUAAUCCCUUAAUAAUGGAACAAAAUCUGAAUCUUAAGAAUAAAAGAGGAAGAGGUUGAAGAAUGGAGAAGCUGCUGGGUUACCUACAGGCUACAGCUGCGAGGAGCCGAGGAGGCGAGGAGAGAGAGAGACUGCUGCUGCUGGUGCUGGAUGGAGGAGUCGCCGUCGAAUCCAGGAGUCGCCGGCGCCGGCGGCGGCGAGUCCAGGUGGUGGGAACUUCGAUCCAGAAGGUGGCGGCUCCUUCUGUUCGAGCUGGGAAGCAGGGAGCAGCUCGUAUGGCACGCUGGAGACCCUGCAAAAUAGGGUUACAUAUUGGGCCGUGGCUGGCCCGGGGGUGUGUUUUUGGGCCAGGCCGUAUCCCUAACGUGUCCCUGCGUAUCCCGGCGUAUCCCAGUCGUUUU